AAGGUAGUCCAGCAGCUAACUGUUCAGCUUUGUGAGAUACGCGAUGAAGUGCUAGCCAUGGGUACCGAGCUGACGAAACGACGCUUGGAUAUAUUGAAAUUUGUACGAGCUAUACAACGCAACGAGAACAGGGUGUUUGUUUACGAAGGUCAUAAUAUAGUGUGGCAAACUAAGAACACCGAAUUGGAUGAAGAAACAAAAAAGCUACGAGAACUCGUUUUAAAAACGGUUAAAAAUAUAGAAUCUAAACUAAUUCAGAGCGUAGACGUUGCCAAAAUGCCAUGGACGGAGAGGGACAAUCUGUUAAAAAAAAUAGGAUCUUUACAAAAAGAGCUUUCUAUACUCAGGAAAAGUAAACAAA
Cydia fagiglandana is the source of this 361-nucleotide long non-coding RNA. RefSeq lists it as uncharacterized. NCBI's taxonomy places the organism in Eukaryota, Metazoa, Arthropoda, Insecta, Lepidoptera, Tortricidae. The record is from RefSeq and is a predicted model, not a curated record. The transcript is spliced from 3 exons.